CCAAGGUCGGGAACAAGGUAAGAUUUUUAUUGCCAUAGGUUUCAUAGUGGAUGGCAAAAGCCAUCAAACAGAUUGAAAUAGCAGGGGAAUUUAUCUAGAAAAUGCUGUCUUACAAGCUAUGAGAAUAUGGAAUGGUAAAAAUCCCUGUUCAAUGAGGGGUCAAGAGAGAUAUUUAACCUUUCAUGGACUGUACACAUGCAAAAACUUGUGUUAGAUGGUUACAAGCUUGAAAGAAAGCUGACCCAUUUUGAUGUUUAAAAUAUUCUGAGACUUCCAUGGAGACUUAUCUGAUGCCACCUAUAUAUAAUGACCUAGAUUUUAAAAACAGUUGGGAAGCAGACGUCUGGAAAUCUGCUGUGAAUUUUAACAUUUUCCAUGCAAAGAUUGAGUGCAAACUUGCAGUUUAAUUUCACUUACAAAAGACUAAAACGCUUUUAGGACUUCCCAGUUAUAUAAUUAGGGGAGAUGACCAUGAAGUGACAACGGAGCCAUCCUUUCCCAGCCAGAUUCCUGCCUUAAAGGACGCUCAGGUUCAUCAAAUUCACCUUAGCGAAUCACAGUCUCCUUAUACCUUGGGUGAGGACUCCUCUCCUCUGAUGGUCACAGAUUGUAAUGUUUCAUUGCAAGCACAGCUGGCUGUUUUGGGCGGUUUACAUGCAGGGCUGCACCUGCUAGACUGGAUGCUAAGAAAGGAGAUGUGUUCUGAGAGAUACAAAGAGAUUAUCUGAUCCGUGAUGGAUUGCGUGGCCCAAAGACCAUCCUGUGUGACCUCCUGAUGGUGAAUAUUGUUUACUCCAUGACUUGCAGUCGGUGUUGACUCUGUACCACACCAGGUCUACAGCUUUGUACCUAGCUCGCCUCGGCUGGCCAUUCUGAGAACCUCCUACCAAGAUUUCCUGUUGACUCCAUUUUAAAGGAGCUCUGUCUUUUCUCCAGUGAGUGGAAGUUACUGAGACCCACUGAGUGCUGCUGCCUGAGUUCAGUUAGAAGAGUAAACCUGCAAUUCCUUCCAGCUUCUUUGCUUGUAGAUAGAGAGGAAGGAGGAUGCUAACUUAAUAACUUCUCCCCAUUGUGCCCCAGAGGUUAGGCACCUUGCCAUGUACAGAUGUUAUCAAAAAUGGAAUCAUUUUAUAAAUAAACUGUGAAUUAACAACAGUGUGGAUAAAUGUAUGCUUUGGUUCAAGACUGAUGUAUUCCAUUCUUUGAGAACGUUCUUUAAAUAAACUGAAUGUUUUCAUUUUGUACUUUGUUAUGAUUUAUCACAUUGUAGUUUAUUUAAGUCUUUCAAUGCUCUCUCUUCCAUUUGCUGAACUUUAGAUAUGGAAUUAAAACACGCUUGACUGCACAGUCUUCCUUCAUAUUUGAAGAAGAAGCCAUGUAGCUAUUACAAUGGAUUAAGACAUCCUACAUUAAAACCCUGUCACUUUUGCAACUGCAUUUAUGCAACAAGACAACAGUAGCUAAUGGGUCCAUCUAAGACACUGAAUUGAAUGGACAAUUUCUUCAUAGCUGUGGUAAUUAUGAAUACUCUGAAAAAGGCUGCUUUGCCAGUUGUAGCCCAAGAAAAUUGAAUACUGUUCUCUUGUAGAAAAUGCUCUGCAAGUAUUCAGCCAUCUUAUUCCAUUACAUGCCAUUACAAAAAAAAAGAGUGAGUUGUUUAUUCAUUGGAAGUUUAUGCACAUACACUACAUCUUUUGAAAGUCCAUAAAUACUGCUUUAGCCUGCUUUCUGUUGAAGGCACAGGCUCAAGCUAAGAACCUUUCUAAAGGAUGACUUCUCCAUUUAUCCACUAUGGACAGCCCAUAGCACUAAUAGAUGCAUAAUCAUAAAAACUCAAUGAUCUCCAACUCUUUCAUAUAGGAUUCCAACAGCCACCUUUGCUCUCUGGACUCAAGGCAUAACAGAGUCAUGGGCAGAUCCGCCCAUCUGCAGGAAAGGGUUUCUUUUGGGGGAUAUCCCCCAAAACAUCAGGACCAAACUCUCAAGUCUGUUCAAACCAACUUUUUCAAGAAGUAGGGUUUUCCAGGAAAGAAUGUUAAUGAUAUUAAGGUAUCUUCACAAUAAAACUCCUUCUGGUGUUACCAAACAUAUCAACUUCCAUUUGGUAUUUAGUUAUGCCUUCAACCAUUUAUUUACCCUCUAGUAAUGAUUCAUAUAACAAUAUAGUGCUGCCAAGUGAAUUCCAUUACCAUGGGGAUAUUUGCAGAUAUUUUAAAUAGUUGAGAUAAAUACAAUAAACUAGAAAAACACCAAGAAAUAAAUUGAUAUAAAAUGGGAGAUCACUGCCUUGCAAACCAGAAUUCAAUACAGUGAAUUUUUGGACCAGCUAGCCAACACAACAAUAACUCCAGGAGCUGCUUAACAAUGCACUACAGGUGGAACAAUACCAGAAUUCUUUUUGCAAUAAAUUAGUCAAAACACUUUUUAAAGAACGGUAAUGUUGGGAAGUAUUUGCUUCCUACACAGCUGAACCCUCUUUUGAUAACAUUCAGUUCUCCAGCUAGGUGUUCAAGGAAAUAAAGAACACCCAGCAAGUAGCAUGUAAGUGUCAUGUCCAAUCGACUAUUUCUACCACAGUGCCUUUGGCGAAGAUGAGUAAUAUCUGAAAACAGGCAUAGGCAUUAGAAAUACUAGUAUAUUCAUAAAACAGAAAGUCAUGCAAUUAGGCAUUCCAGGUACAUCUAUACAUAUAUAUAUAUAUAUACACACACAUAUAUAUGAAGUGGUUUCAUUUAGUAUAUUAUAAACCAGAGGUGUUCCAUGCACUCCAUACAGCACAAGAUUAACUAUCAAAAACUGCUGUCAGGGUAUAACCAAACAGUAUAUGCUUCCCAUGUAUUUGACCACAGUUUUUAACCAUGUCUUUUUACAGAACGUUAGGCAUUCCACUGGACUGUUAGGGGGAAAAAAAAAAGUGUUGGCAAGGAGUUUAGAAAUGCCCUGUGUAGGAAGGCUCCAUGCUGCCAGUUAAUCCAAGAAGGAUUCUUAAUGACCUCAUGAUCCAGAAGUUAUUUCAAAAAACAUAUCUAUGAUACUAUGAAAAUAACCCCAACCUUCAUUUUUCGGAAACUAAUGCAGAUUAUGUAGUUUGCAUUAAAAUUUAUACACUGUAAGGAGUGUGCCUGAAGUUUGGCUCUGUAACAAGCACAUAAUUUCUUCAAAAACUCUCUAAUACUUUACCUUUCUGUUAUUACAACAAUACAAGAACCUUCCUUGUCUAGAAGACCAAGGGUAUGUCUUAGGUUAUGCUAAUGGAUCUAUUUUGAAACAAGCUCUUGAAAUAUUCUUGGCUUAUAUAGUGGAUUCAUCAUCAAAAAGACCAUUAUCUUCCAUUAUGAAUCCCAAAU
Myiozetetes cayanensis is the source of this 3347-nucleotide long non-coding RNA. RefSeq lists it as uncharacterized. The record is from RefSeq and is a predicted model, not a curated record. NCBI's taxonomy places the organism in Eukaryota, Metazoa, Chordata, Aves, Passeriformes, Tyrannidae. The transcript has 4 exons.